UUGAUCCUGCGCUCAGAGCGAACGCUGGCGGCAGGCUUAACACAUGCAAGUCGAGCGGGCCCUUCGGGGUCAGCGGCAGACGGGUGAGUAACGCGUGGGAACGUGCCCUUCGGUUCGGAAUAACUCAGGGAAACUUGAGCUAAUACCGGAUACGUGCGAGAGCAGAAAGGUUUAUCUGCCGAAGGAUCGGCCCGCGUCUGAUUAGCUGGUUGGUGAGGUUAUGGCUCACCAAGGCGACGAUCAGUAGCUGGUCUGAGAGGAUGAUCAGCCACACUGGGACUGAGACACGGCCCAGACUCCUACGGGAGGCAGCAGAAGGG
Molecule: ribosomal RNA, 320 nt
Filed under: uncultured Methylobacteriaceae bacterium
Lineage: Bacteria; Pseudomonadati; Pseudomonadota; Alphaproteobacteria; Hyphomicrobiales; Methylobacteriaceae
Description: bacterial SSU rRNA
Rfam family: Bacterial small subunit ribosomal RNA
Source: RNAcentral